This 253-nucleotide ribosomal RNA is filed under the name uncultured bacterium. Its description in RNAcentral is "partial 16S ribosomal RNA". It matches the Rfam family "Bacterial small subunit ribosomal RNA", at positions 524 to 776 of the family's 1533-position model. The record is from RNAcentral.
UACGUAGGUGGCAAGCGUUGUCCGGAUUUACUGGGCGUAAAGAGCGCGCAGGCGGUCGUUCAAGUCGCGUGUGAAAGCCCCCGGCUCAACUGGGGAGGGUCACGCGAUACUGAUCGACUCGAAGGCAGGAGAGGGUAGUGGAAUUCCUGGUGUAGCGGUGAAAUGCGCAGAUAUCAGGAGGAACACCAAUGGCGAAGGCAGCUCGCUGGGACGGUACUGACGCUGAGACGCGAAAGCGUGGGGAGCAAACAGG